Molecule: long non-coding RNA, 756 nt
Filed under: Equus caballus (horse)
Lineage: Eukaryota; Metazoa; Chordata; Mammalia; Perissodactyla; Equidae
Description: lncRNA (ENSECAG00000059354.1)
Source: RNAcentral
GUUUAACCCUUGGUACAGCUGAAAUUUAGUCCUGAUCGUGGAGAAGUCCUGAAUCAGGGAUAAGGAACUGAGGUAACUCAAGCAAGUCAUUUGGGAUUUCAUAAUUUUGUUUCAUUUUUUCCUCGUGAAAUUGUCUUCACUAAGGGCAGAUGAAGGAGCCACUUGAAAUGAGUUCCAUGUCAAUGGAGGACGCCUGCCACAGCAUGGCUUGACAAGUGGUGCAUAUGUCCACACCCAGGAUCCGAACCAGCGAACCCCAGGCCGUUGAAGCAGAAUGUGUGAACUUAACCGCUGUGCCACUGGGCUGGCCCCUGCAAUAUGUUCUUGAUGUAGUUCAAGCAAUAUUUGAAGUUUCAGUGGAAGCUUUUGAAUCUCACUUCCAAGGUGUAGAUUGUUACAUGGUAAACAUGCUUGCUCAGGCUGAUGCCUUUUUAUUAGAACUGUAUGCUCUUUAUUCUGUUGAUUUUCUUCACGUGUCUUAAAUAUGUCCUUAUUUUUCUCCUUCAAGCCUUUCUAAGUAAACGGCAUCAAUGAGUUUCUUCAAAUCAACUUCUGAUUCAUAGUCUAGGUAAUCUCUAUUUGCUGAUCUACUCUUUUUGUCUAAUUUCAAGUUACCCUCAUGUAAUGUUUCUAGAAAGAACAGGCUUUAGUUCAGUUUCAGAUACUUUGACUGGCUCUCCUUAUCACUGACAUCUUGUUUCAUUCAUGGAUUCAAGUCCUAAAACAUUUUUUUUUCUGUCUCUUCAGUUCCUGCAC